AUAUUUUUGUAUAUCACUCUCUUGUCUUGUCCUCCAUGGUGACUAAACAUGUCUGUUAAUUAAUUGCUCUGCUGUGUAUUUGCUUUUGUUUAGUCCGCAUGUACAGAAUAAAGUAUAGAGAAGUUAGAAUAUAAACACCUUUUAUUAACCCAAACCCAAUAGUUAUCAAUAGAGGCGAAGUCAAUUAAAAAUGUAUUAUUAGUAAUAACUCAUAACUUACUAUUUUUAAUCUCGCUCAAAUUUAAAUGAUCACAUGACAAACGCCAGCCUUCGAAUAUGAAAUGAAUCAUCAAUAUCUUUAUUCUGUUUGUCGAAAAACAACAAAUAAAAAAUACAGUCAAAUUCAAUAUCUCCUCGUUUAUUUUUCCAUUGACUAAAUUAAAAGAACUAGUGGUCGUCGAGUGGUCGAAAUUCGGCCAUUAAAAAAAAAAUUAAAUU
Molecule: long non-coding RNA, 438 nt
Organism: Melitaea cinxia (Glanville fritillary)
Lineage: Eukaryota; Metazoa; Arthropoda; Insecta; Lepidoptera; Nymphalidae
Exons: 2
Source: RefSeq, a predicted model, not a curated record